CAAACCAGUUCGCGACCAGAUGAAUUAUCAAACACCAAAAUACAUUUAAUAUACUCAUAUCGAAAUGCAGCAGAAUAAACCAACCAUUAAAACCGAAUCAAGAGAUGAACAGAUGAAUUAUCAAACACCAAAAUACAUUUAAUAUACUCAUAUCGAAAUGCAGCAGAAUAAACCAACCAUUAAAACCGAAUCAAGAGAUGAAGUUCAAAGGAAAAUCCAACCGUAUCUACAGCGUC
RNAcentral lists this long non-coding RNA (236 nucleotides) under Lathyrus oleraceus (garden pea). RNAcentral's name for it is "Pisum sativum (pea) long non-coding RNA (PSAT_LNC034810)". Lineage: Eukaryota; Viridiplantae; Streptophyta; Magnoliopsida; Fabales; Fabaceae. The record is from RNAcentral.